Molecule: ribosomal RNA, 253 nt
Filed under: uncultured bacterium
Lineage: Bacteria
Description: partial 16S ribosomal RNA
Rfam family: Bacterial small subunit ribosomal RNA
Source: RNAcentral
UACAGAGGUCUCAAGCGUUGUUCGGAUUCAUUGGGCGUAAAGGGUGCGUAGGCGGCGCGGUAAGUCGGGUGUGAAAUCUCGGGGCUUAACUCCGAAACUGCAUUCGAUACUGCCGUGCUUGAGGACUGGAGAGGAGACUGGAAUUUACGGUGUAGCGGUGAAAUGCGUAGAUAUCGUAAGGAAGACCAGUGGCGAAGGCGGGUCUCUGGGCCGACAUUGACGCUGAGGAGCGAAAGCGUGGGGAGCGAACAGG